RNAcentral lists this ribosomal RNA (465 nucleotides) under Vreelandella stevensii. Its description in RNAcentral is "partial 16S ribosomal RNA". It matches the Rfam family "Bacterial small subunit ribosomal RNA", at positions 338 to 795 of the family's 1533-position model. The record is from RNAcentral. Lineage: Bacteria; Pseudomonadati; Pseudomonadota; Gammaproteobacteria; Oceanospirillales; Halomonadaceae.
CCUACGGGCGGCUGCAGUGGGGAAUAUUGGACAAUGGGGGCAACCCUGAUCCAGCCAUGCCGCGUGUGUGAAGAAGGCCCUCGGGUUGUAAAGCACUUUCAGUGAGGAAGAACGCCUGGUGGUUAAUACCCAUCAGGAAAGACAUCACUCACAGAAGAAGCACCGGCUAACUCCGUGCCAGCAGCCGCGGUAAUACGGAGGGUGCGAGCGUUAAUCGGAAUUACUGGACGUAAAGCGCGCGUAGGUGGCUUGAUAAGCCGGUUGUGAAAGCCCCGGGCUCAACCUGGGAACGGCAUCCGGAACUGUCAAGCUAGAGUGCAGGAGAGGAAGGUAGAAUUCCCGGUGUAGCGGUGAAAUGCGUAGAGAUCGGGAGGAAUACCAGUGGCGAAGGCGGCCUUCUGGACUGACACUGACACUGAGGUGCGAAAGCGUGGGUAGCAAACAGGAUUAGAUACCCGAGUAGUC